This is a long non-coding RNA of Haliotis rubra (blacklip abalone), 266 nucleotides long. RefSeq lists it as uncharacterized. The record is from RefSeq and is a predicted model, not a curated record. The transcript is spliced from 2 exons. Lineage: Eukaryota; Metazoa; Mollusca; Gastropoda; Lepetellida; Haliotidae.
GAUUUCCCCCGAAAGCGUCGGAUUUUCACGUCAGCAUUUACUUGGAUACUUUGUCAAGGGAAGCACCAGUCCCGAGGAUGAUGUUGGUGAAGCGAAGACACAUGUUUACAGUUUUGAAUGUUCACCAAUACCUGGGAGCUGAAUAGAAGCAGAAUGUAGGACGUUGUACACGUGUAGACGUUUCUCUUGUAGGAUGAUGUUGGUGAAGCGAUGACACAUGUUCACCAAUACCUGGGAGCUGAAUAGAAGCAGAAUGUAGGACGUUG